Molecule: non-coding RNA, 425 nt
Organism: Biomphalaria pfeifferi
Lineage: Eukaryota; Metazoa; Mollusca; Gastropoda; Planorbidae
Source: the annotation of a GenBank genome assembly
UUUGUAUUCCUGUUUAUUAUUCAAAUAUAAACUGUAGAAUUGACAUUUUAUAGUUUAAAAAAAGUUACUAGCUCUGGUUCUAUAAUAGUCUUAUCCAUCUAGCAAUGUGUUAACAUUUGUUACUUAAACCAAUAUCAAGAAAGAAUCAAUUGAUAACCCCAUUUCUUUUGAUAACACUAUAUAUUGUGCACAUAAAUACAUUAUAAAUAGGCUUUCAUAAUUUAUGAACCACAUUAAAAUUUUAAAAAAUGUGCCUGCUUAUUUUAUUUUGAUAUAUGAUGCUAAGCUUACUAACAACUUGAUGAUGACUCCCACUGACAGAGAUGAGAGUGUAUUCUGAAGAUACAUUCUACUCAACUGAACAAAGUGAACUUUGGAUGUAUUCUGAAGAUACAUUCUACUCAACUGAACAAAAUGAACUUUGG